GGUUACUUAUUUUAUUCUAGCAUGAUUACAAACAAACUUGGUGUUCACAAGAUGAGUAAACAUCACAAAAACUGGACAUGGGAAGUAGCAUGAUGGGGGGCAGGGGGGAGCGCUGACCCCUCGCAGAACAUGAGGUAUGGAGGGGAGGGGGUGAGAUGAGGCGACACAACACACACCCUCCUCGCAACACACACAUGCACUCACACACAUACUUCCCUUUGCAACACACCAGAAAAUACUUAACCCCCAUCUCAUUUUUCUUCUAUAGGUCAUGUUUUCAAGUCUAUUCACACCUUUCAACUUAAUCAUCAUAUAUAAAAAAAAAACAAUAAAAUAAUAAAACUGAGAUAUCAAAUUGGAUUCAAAAUAAACUUAAAAAAGGUAUAUUUCAACCAUACUUCCUCUCUAUAUCUCCAUUCUAUUUUCCGAAGUACUUUUUUUUUAUUUGAAUGUCGUGAAAAUUGGUAACAUUCUCUACCUGAUGGAGUCUGAAUAAAAUAAAAUAAAUAAAUAAAAUAAAAAGGUAUAUUUCGACAACACUUCUAUAUCUCCAUUCUAUUUUCCGAUUUUAUUAUUUUUUUUAUUAUUUUUUGGGGAGCCCAGAAUGGAAAGUGUGAAUCCGUUAACAUUUCCUAACUGAUGAAGUAUAAAUAAACAAAAAAAAUAAAUAAAUAAAUAAAUAAAACGGAACAUUCUGCCGAUAAUCCAUUUCUAUAUCUCGGUUCUAUUUUCCGAAGUCCUUUUUUUACCUUGAAUGGGUGAAAAAUUGGUCAACAUUCCCUAACUAACUGAAUAAAAGUUUCUCUGAGGUUCGUAUUUACCGGAACAAGCGACGGGACAGCUGUGUGUGUGUGUACGUGCGUGUGUGUGCGUGGGAGUGUGUGUGUACGUGUCUUGUUUCCUUUAGAGAGCAUGGAGGCGGGGGUCAGCACAGGGGAGGGGGUGCUGAGGGGGUGGGAGGGGUCAGCGCUCAGAUCUGGAGGUCACCACGCAGGAUCUUACGCCAAGCCAAGCCAUUUUUUCCCUUAACGCCUUAUUUGACGAAGCUGAGGUCAAAAUGGCUGAGUAAGUUUAUUAUUCAUCAUUAUUUUUUGUACUUUGUGGAACGAGUGAGCAUGUGUCCUGCUCUGCCUGGCGGGUGAGACGGGUGAGUCUUUCGAAUGCACUAAUAACAGGAUUCAACACACAUAUAGCAGGAUUGGAUCACAUGUUUAAGGUGACUGGAUUCUUUAAGUGUCAUGCUUUUUCGUGUAUAUAACUUGGGUGAGACGAGUGAGUCUUUCGAAUGCACUAAUAACAGGAUUCAACACACUUAUAAUGGGAUUGGAUCAUAUGUUUAAGGUGACUGGAUUCUUUAAGUGUCAUGCUUUUUUGUGUAUAUAACUUGGGUGAGACGAGUGAGUCUUUCGAGUGCACUUAAAACAGGAUUCAACACACUUAUAAUGGAAUUGGAUCAUGUGUUUAAGGAGAUCGAAUCCUUUGUGUGUGAUGGUUCUUCCUGUAUACAUAACUUGGGUGAGACGAGUUAGUCUUUCGAAUGCACUUAAAACAGGAUUCAACACACUUAUAACAGGAUUGGAUUACAGGUUAGAGGUGAUUGAAUCCUUUAGUGUGAUGCUCCUUCCUCUACAAAGUGAGUGACACAUAUGAGUCUUUCAAACACACUCAUAACAGGAUUGGAUUACAGGUUAGAGGUGAUUGAAUCCUUUAGUGUGAUGCUUCCUAUACUUGAGUGAUGGCUUGAUCCCUUUCCGACACUAACAUUCACAAAAAAAUAAUAGCACGUCCUUAAAAUAGUAAGUAAUUGAGUCCCUUCAAAUAUCCGAUUGGGAGAAAAUGCGAGGCUGAGUUGAAAGUAUAUAUAACAAAGAAAACAAAGACAUGAAAUACGAAAGAACACAAUCACUGGAUGAGAAAACAAAAACAAAAAUAACAGCGACGGACACCAACCAUCACAAAAGCACCAUUACGAAAGGCCACACCGCGUCCAACUCACCAAGACUUCCGAGCAGAGACGAGAAAGUUCCGACGCAUUCAAUUAACAUCACGACUCAAUGCCUGGCUUCAGAUUCUGCGUGUUUUGGGGGCAUGAUGCACUUGUUCAAUCUUUCCAUAUGUACAUAUUGGGAGGGCGUUUGGGGGUUUAUGGGGUAUGGGGUGGGAGAGGGGAAGUGCACCCUGGAAUAUAUAUAUGUAUGUAUGUAUGGGAUAUAAGUAUAUGGUCUAUAUCUGUGACACACUAGAAGCACAUAACAUAAGGAAGGAAUGAAGUUGUUCCGCUAGGCUAACUGGCUCCCCAACGCAGAGAAAUCUAGCGUUAAAAGGUGUCGGAAUACGGAAGUACGAAAGGAGGCUUGUCGAGGGUGAUUUGAUACGUUUAAUAAGACUAGUAAUCAGGAGACGUAAGGUUGGCAAGAACACAUGACACGAAAAUGGCUACGUACAUACUUUGAUAUUUUACACAUUAACGUCUUGUUUACGAUCCGAGGACAAAAGUUUGGCGUGAACACAUUGUGCAUAUUAUUAUAAAAAGGAUUGUUUUGAAAGAGAUUCUGAACUGCCUUUGUACAAUCGGGUGACUACACAGUGUUACCAAGGAAUGAAAAGGGGGAGGUGAGUAAGAUUUUCCCUUCAGCUAUGGUUGUGAUAUGGCAACAAUGGUUUUUCUUUACCCUUCGUCAAUAAACUCAGGAUGUUGUGUAAGCUCUAAGGGGCCGAGAGAGGUCAUAUUCAACCUUCUAUAAUACAUAUGAAAGAGAUUUACAUCAUAUCAUUGUUGCUUUGCCUAAUAAGUAAUGCAAGCCCUAGGUGACAAACAGAGCCGUCUGGAGUAAUAAUAUAUAUAAGUCUGGUAUAUAAAUCUUUCCUAAGUAUUGUCUCAGAUUCCAAGAUGCACAGUCUUAAGAUAGGUCACUUCUCUCUCGCUCUCUCUCUCUCUCUCUCUCUCUCUACCUUUAGGAUAAUGAGAAAAUACAGAAAUAUUUACUAACUUACGGUCUACGAGAAAUAUCAAUUAUUAUCAUAUGUAUACCAUUAAAAAAAAUAGUUCUUCCCUCAUAUCCAGGACAUCGCAAUGGUGUGGUGUGCCGUGUCUUACGGAGAAAUAAGUUAACCGGCAGCUAGCACAACAGAGUGGCAAUGUGCGCUAACGGAGAGUGACGGCAGACAACGAAACUGUGCGUGUGAUAAGGAAAAUCAGGAGGCGGCUUGUAGAUGUGAAGGCCCAGGGUAGCAACACUCACACAGGAACAAGCAUGAUCGUACAGCUUCUGAGUGCCCUGUGCAAGCAUGGUCUGGUCUCAGGUAAGGUAAUUUAGGUGACUUUGAGGAUUGAAGGCCAGGGGUAGCAACACUCACACAGGAAGAAGCAUGAUCGUAUAGCUUCUGAGUGCCCUGUGCAAGCAUGGUCUGGUCUUAGGUAAGGUAAUUUAGGAAGUGACUUGGAGGAUUGAAGGCCAGGGGUAGCAACACUCACACAGGAACAAGCAUGAUCGUAUAGCUUCUCGAGUGCCCUGUGCAAGCAAGGUCUGGUCUUAGGUAAGGUAAUUUAGGUGACUUGGAGGAUUGAAGGCCAGGGGUAGCGGACUCAUUCACCCAAGAAAGGCCCAGGGAAGCAAACACUAACAUGGGAAGAAGCACGAUGGAAUAGCCUCUACAUUUCUGAGUGCCCUGAGCAAGCUAGGUUUGGUUUGGAGGUUUUAAGACCCAAGGCAAUGACACAAGGCCCAGAUUAGAGGCACUCACACAAGAUGAAGCAAGAUGGAUAACCUCUAUAUUCUUAUGCCCUGUGUAAGUUAGGUCUGGUCUUAGGUAAGGUGAUUCAGGAGGAGGUUUAGAGGUUUGAAGGCCAGGGGAUAGCGUGCACUGAUACAGGUUCGCUCACAUAGGAAGAAGCAAAAUUGGAUACCUUGCUGAAUGCUCUGUGUAAGUUAGGUCUGGUCUUAGGUAAGGUGAUUCAGGAGGAGGUUUAGAGGUUUGAAGGCCAAGGGAUAGCGUGCACUGAUACAGGUUCGCUCACAUAGGAAGAAGCAAAAUUGGAUACCUUGUUGAAUGCCCUCUGUAAGUUAGGUCUGGUCUCGUAAAUGCCUACCCUCCGCAACAUCACCACAGACUGACACUAUGACCGACGUAUACGAAAGGGGCGCCAUCUUAAGAGACCGACUGUAACGCCUGACACACACCUGCUACCUAACGAUACAGGUGGGGGGCACAAAGGUAUGGUAAGGUAAGGUAAUGCAAGGUAAGGUAUCUGCCUCCUGGGAUCUCAAUAAACAGGUAAAUGAGAUAGGCAAGUUAAGGUUAGACAAGGUAAAGUUAGGUAAUGUAAGGUAAGGUGAGGUUAGGUUAGGUAAGGUAAGUUAAGAUAAAGUUAGGUAAUGUAAAGUAAGGUAAGGUUAGGAAGGGUAAGGUAAGAUAAAGUUAGGUAGGAGUGUAUGACCAGACCAGCUACCUGCCUCCUAUCACUUAAGGUAAACUCGAAGGGUAAACGAGCUAGGCAAGGUACGUAAGGUAAGGUAAAGUAAGGUGAACAGAGGAGACAACCCGCCGAGUGACUCUCAAUAGUUCCAGCUAAUGUAAGAGGUAACAGUCAUCUUGUUAUAUAUAUACAGUAAGGUUGGUCAUCAUACAGUGAGGGGAACACACACACACGCACACACACACACACACUCGCUUACACACUUCCCAUUCACACUCAUAACCUCUCUUUCUCUCUCUCUCAGAUCUGAAUUUUGGUUUGCGGUUUACGAGUUACGGUUUUCAAAUUCACGUUUAUUUUCUCAUUUAUAAAACAUUCGCUCGUCCAGGCAAGAGAUGUGUCGUAAAUACUGAGGAUGACUCUCUCUCUCUCUCUCUCUCUCUCUCUCUGCUCAUAAUCACCUUUUUCUCUCUUUUUUUUUUACCGUUACCUAAUCAGAGUUUUCAGGUACACAAAACCUAUCUGUCUCGGUCUCUCUUUAAAUUAUUGUAUAGCGUUUUUGUUUUUCUAAUUGUACGUUGUUAAGGAAAUAAUUAAGUAGAGUUUUCCAUUGUGCGAGUGAGCUUUCGACUUUGCGUGAAAAAACUAGCAUUGAAGCGUAAAAAAUAUGUAUAAAAAAUCUAGCAAUCAUCAUAAUCAUCUGUAGAAAAAAAGAUUGUGCGAUGUAAUUACCUUUUUUGAGCGAGCGCCAAUUAGUGAUAAGCUAAACACACACACACACACACACACACACACACACACAUACGCACACACACACGACAAUAUACACAGUGAACACUUUCGGAGGCAAACCAAUGGAGGGGAGAGGGAGGGACGAGGGGGUCAGGUGAGGGGUGUGUGAGGGGAAAGGGUAGGGGGGGGGGAAGGGAGCCAUUAUGUAUGUACAGCGAACAGUUACAUAAUGAUGAUUGGCAAAGUACAAAUGCAAAAAACCAUACGUACAUACGCCACGGUCAAACGCACAUCAGUGAGUAUACAUGAACCGUGUGCGCGUAACGAAGCCUCGUCACGCGCACACACGAAUCAUUUUCACAAGCGACUCUUUUUUCGUUUCACACGCACACGAUUUUAAUUUUUUUUCCAAGUGAGGCGUUUAUUUUUUUUUGCGUUUUUGGGGGUUACGUAUCUGACUCACUUUUCUCAUUCUCGGUCUUUGGGUGGCGGCUUGUUGAGGGUCGUACGUAAAUACACAGACGUAGGACGAGCUGAAUUUAAAACGGUACACCCAUCCAAAGGGGAGGACACAGGCUUGGGGUGUAGCGAAAUGGAUAACAGGAAUAUUAUUUACAGAAGUCGCUGGUGUGAGGGAGCGCUAAGCAUAGGCGUAGACAUAGUAGCAGUGUCGGAAGCAGUAAUGGCAGUAGAAACACCAUCACCACCACUACGAUCACCACCACCAUCGCCUCAACUCCCCCCCCACACUGAAAGUAUUACCUGCUUAAUGUAGCGUAAUUACCAUGGUUAAUCGAUAAGCAAGAAAAUAAUUGUCCACAUACGUAAAGAAAUGAAAUAAUACACUUUGGUUCUCGAAUGUUUAACCCUCUAUUUGCUUUUCCUUGUUUUUGUUUCCGUUGAGAUAAUCGAUAAUGUACAGACUAGCCGAAGAACAGCGCGUCGCAAAAUAAUGUUGAUGACGAAAAUAUUAAUAAUGAUACUACGAUGUGUUCUUUCUGCGUAUUUUCAUUCACACUUUUUUUUUGCUACGAGGCCAAGAAAAGCAGGAAAGUCAGGCGUGUGAUUCCCUAUGUAUGAAAAAAAAAACGAGAGAAGAAAAUGAAAAAACAAAAGAAUAUCAAUCGUUACCAACACAAAAUGAAAAUGAGAAAAAACGAGAAACCUCCAAAAAUCCAAAAAUAUCAGCCGUUACCAACACAAAACGAGAAAAAAAUGAGAAACCUACAAAAAUAUCAGCCGUUACCAACACAAAAUUAAAAAAAAACGA
Molecule: long non-coding RNA, 6419 nt
Organism: Eriocheir sinensis (Chinese mitten crab)
Lineage: Eukaryota; Metazoa; Arthropoda; Malacostraca; Decapoda; Varunidae
Exons: 2
Source: RefSeq, a predicted model, not a curated record